UACCCGGCUAACUUAAGCAUAUCAAUAAGCGGAGGAAAAGAAACCAACAGGGAUUACCUCAGUAACGGCGAGUGAAGCGGUAACAGCUCAAAUUUGAAAUCUGGCCUCACGGUCCGAGUUGUAAUUUGUAGAGGAUGCUUCGAGCAUGGUCUGGCCUAAGUUCCUUGGAACAGGACGUCAUAGAGGGUGAGAAUCCCGUAUGCGGCCAGGUGCCUACGCUCAUGUGAAGCUCCUUCGACGAGUCGAGUUGUUUGGGAAUGCAGCUCAAAAUGGGUGGUAAAUUUCAUCUAAAGCUAAAUAUUGGCCAGAGACCGAUAGCGCACAAGUAGAGUGAUCGAAAGAUGAAAAGCACUUUGGAAAGAGAGUUAAACAGUACGUGAAAUUGUUGAAAGGGAAGCGCUUGCAACCAGACUUGCGCGCGGCCGAUCAUCUGGUGUUCUCACCAGUGCACUCGGCCGUGCUCAGGCCAGCAUCGGUUUUGGCGGCUGGAUAAAGGCCCUAGGAAUGUAGCUCCUCUCGGGGAGUGUUAUAGCCUAGGGUGCAAUGCAGCCUGCCGGGACCGAGGACCGCGCUUCGGCUAGGAUGCUGGCGUAAUGGUUGUAAGCGGCCCGUCUUGAA
RNAcentral lists this ribosomal RNA (618 nucleotides) under Geomyces sp. APA-2013. RNAcentral describes it as "eukaryotic LSU rRNA". It matches the Rfam family "Eukaryotic large subunit ribosomal RNA", at positions 22 to 658 of the family's 3401-position model. The record is from RNAcentral. Lineage: Eukaryota; Fungi; Ascomycota; Leotiomycetes; Thelebolales; Pseudeurotiaceae.